This 484-nucleotide ribosomal RNA is filed under the name uncultured bacterium. Its description in RNAcentral is "partial 16S ribosomal RNA". It matches the Rfam family "Bacterial small subunit ribosomal RNA", at positions 30 to 507 of the family's 1533-position model. The record is from RNAcentral.
AUUGAACGCUGGCGGAAUGCUUUACACAUGCAAGUCGAACGGCAGCACGGGGGCAGCCCUGGUGGCGAGUGGCGAACGGGUGAGUAAUACAUCGGAACGUGCCCGGUCGUGGGGGAUAACGUAGCGAAAGUUACGCUAAUACCGCAUACGAUCUGAGGAUGAAAGCGGGGGACCUUCGGGCCUCGCGCGAUCGGAGCGGCCGAUGUCCGAUUAGGUAGUUGGUGGGGUAAAGGCCUACCAAGCCGACGAUCUGUAGCUGGUCUGAGAGGACGACCAGCCACACUGGGACUGAGACACGGCCCAGACUCCUACGGGAGGCAGCAGUGGGGAAUUUUGGACAAUGGGCGCAAGCCUGAUCCAGCCAUUCCGCGUGCAGGACGAAGGCCUUCGGGUUGUAAACUGCUUUUGUACGGAACGAAAAGGCUCUGGCUAAUACCUGGGGCUCAUGACGGUACCGUAAGAAUAAGCACCGGCUAACUACGUG